Molecule: ribosomal RNA, 500 nt
Filed under: uncultured bacterium
Lineage: Bacteria
Description: bacterial SSU rRNA
Rfam family: Bacterial small subunit ribosomal RNA
Source: RNAcentral
GAUCCUGGCUCAGGAUGAACGCUAGCGGCAGGCUUAAUACAUGCAAGUCGUGGGCAGCAGGUUUGUAGCAAUACAGAUGCUGGCGACCGGCAAACGGGUGCGGAACACGUACAGAACCUUCCUUUGAGCGGGGAAUAGCCCAGAGAAAUUUGGAUUAAUACCCCAUAGUAUAAUGAAGUGGCAUCACUUUAUUAUUAAAGAUUUAUCACUCGAAGAUGGCUGUGCGGCUGAUUAGGUAGUUGGCGGGGUAAAGGCCCACCAAGCCUGCGAUCAGUAACUGGUGUGAGAGCACGACCAGUCACACGGGCACUGAGACACGGGCCCGACUCCUACGGGAGGCAGCAGUAAGGAAUAUUGGUCAAUGGAGGCAACUCUGAACCAGCCAUGCCGCGUGGAGGAUGAAGGUCCUCUGGAUUGUAAACUUCUUUUAUAUGGGACGAAAAAAGGCUCUUCUAAGUCGUCUGACGGUACCAUAUGAAUAAGCACCGGCUAACUCCGUG